This 1200-nucleotide long non-coding RNA is filed under the name Marmota monax (woodchuck). The record is from RNAcentral. Lineage: Eukaryota; Metazoa; Chordata; Mammalia; Rodentia; Sciuridae.
AUGUUAUGAUGUGUGUUUAAACUGAUGAACAAAGAUCCUGGAGUGUCCUCAGAGUGCCUGGGGCCCCUGGGCAGGGGGUUACCUGCUCCAGGAGCCACAUUAUGGCACCCAGGCCCCUGAACACUCCAAAGCCAUGGACACCCAGGGGCACUGGCUUAUGUGGGAGGAGUCCAUCACUGCUGAUAGCAUUUAAAUGAACACUCUUCACAGAAAUUGCUCCUUUAAAAAUAAUCUAUUUUUGUUAAUAUAAGGAUUUUUUUCUGGGGUUUUUGUACAUGUACCCACAAGGGAGUUUCAUUAUAAGUUACAUCUUUGCCUAAUUAGAGAAAAGUAGAGCUGCUUGUUAAAUAUCUGAAGCAUUCUAAAAGAAAUUAAAUAUAACAUUUUCAAGAAAAAUAAUUAUAUUUUCCAAAAAAAAAAAAAAUUUUUUAAAUUAGCAAGUAUUUCAGUCAGCUUUUUUGCUGCGGUAACUAAGCACCCAACCAGAACAAUAGUAGAUGAAGAAAGUUUAAGAGGUCUCAGUCCAUAGACAACAGAAUCCAGCAGGAGGCAGCUCACAUAAUCAGUAAACAGGGAUACAAGAUACACCAGAUACACCACUCACCAGAUACAAAUAUCCACCCCAAAGCCAUACGCACGCCCACCUCCUCCAGCCACACCAUAGCUGCCUUCAGUCACCAAUCAAUCCCACCAGAGUAGUAAUUCACUCUUUGGGUUAACUCUCCAAAUCCAAUCACUUCAUAAACCUUGCUGUUUUCUCUCACAUGAGAUAAUGGGAGAUACCUCACAUCCAAACAAUAACAGUAAGAAUGACAUUUUAAAUUUUUAAAAAUCUGUCUUAUAUCUGAUUCAGUUGAAGAUACACCUCUUGUGAGGUGUUUACAGAGUAAGAAGCAAGAGAACUGCACAGACCUAGGGAUAGAGAGGAAUGAGAGCCCCAAUGUCCUCCUCACACAGACCUGUGGAUGGACAGCAGGGGAGCUCAGUGUCUUCCUCAACAGACCUGUGGAUGGACAGCAGUGGGAGUCAGUGUCCUCCUCACACAGACCUGUGGAUGGACAGCAGGGGAGCUCAGUGUCCUCCUCACACAGACCUGUGGAUGGACAGGAGUAUAGUCUCUUCAAUUUUUUCCUUUCCUUUUAUUUGAACUACUUUCAAAUACACAUUAUUCUUAAAGAGGGAUAUUUAAUUGCAGAGUGG